RNAcentral lists this ribosomal RNA (253 nucleotides) under uncultured bacterium. Its description in RNAcentral is "partial 16S ribosomal RNA". It matches the Rfam family "Bacterial small subunit ribosomal RNA", at positions 524 to 776 of the family's 1533-position model. The record is from RNAcentral.
UACAGAGGGUGCAAGCGUUGUUCGGAAUCAUUGGGCGUAAAGCGCGUGUAGGCGGUCCGGUAAGUCCGCUGUGAAAGUCGGGGGCUCAACCCUCGGAUGCCGGUGGAUACUGUCGGGCUCGAGUCCGGAAGAGGAGUGUGGAAUUCCUGGUGUAGCGGUGAAAUGCGCAGAUAUCAGGAAGAACACCAAUGGCGAAGGCAGCUCUCUGGGACGGUACUGACGCUGAGACGCGAAAGCGUGGGGAGCGAACAGG